AGAGUUUGAUCAUGGCUCAGAACGUACGCUGGCGGCACGCCUAACACAUGCAAGUCGAACGCAGUAGCAAUACUGAGUGGCAAACGGGUGAGUAUAAUGUGGGAAUCUGCCUUUUGGUCAGGAAUAACACGGGGAAACUUGUGCUAAUACCGGAUAAGCCCUUACGGGGAAAGUUUUAAUGCCGAAAGAUGAGCCUGCACUUGAUUAGCUAGUUGGUAAGGUAAAGGCUUACCAAGGCAACGAUCAAUAGCUGUUCUUAGAGGAAGACCAGCCACAUUGGGACUGAGACACGGCCCAGACUCCUACGGGAGGCAGCAGUGGGGAAUCUUGCACAAUGGGGGAAACCCUGAUGCAGCGAUGCCGCGUGAGUGAAGAAGGCCCUUGGGUUGUAAAACUCUUUCGUCGGGGAAGAAAAUGACUGUACCCGAAUAAGAAGGUCCGGCUAACUUCGUGCCAGCAGCCGCGGUAAUACGAAGGGACCUAGCGUAGUUCGGAAUUACUGGGCUUAAAGAGCUCGUAGGUGGUUAAAAAAGUUGAUGGUGAAAUCCCAAGGCUCAACCUUGGAACUGCCAUCAAAACUUUUUAGCUAGAGUGUGAUAGAGGUAAGUGGAAUUUCUAGUGUAGAGGUGAAAUUCGUAGAUAUUAGAAAGAACACCAAAUGCGAAGGCAACUUACUGGGUCACUACUGACACUGAGGAGCGAAAGCAUGGGUAGCGAAGAGGAUUAGAUACCCUCGUAGUCCAUGCCGUAAACGAUGUGUGCUAGACGUUGGAAAUAUAUUUUUCAGUGUCGCAGCGAAAGCAUUAAGCACACCGCCUGGGGAGUACGACCGCAAGGGUUAAAACUCAAAUGAAUUGACGGGGACCCGCACAAGCAGUGAGCAUGUGGGUUU
Molecule: ribosomal RNA, 892 nt
Filed under: uncultured bacterium
Lineage: Bacteria
Description: bacterial SSU rRNA
Rfam family: Bacterial small subunit ribosomal RNA
Source: RNAcentral